CCCCUAGAUGUUCUGGGCCGCACGCGCGCUACACUGACCAGUGCAACAAGCAUCCGUCCUUGGCCGACAGGCCCGGGCAAUCUUUGAACGCUGGUCGUGAUGGGGAUAGACUUUUGCAAUUUUUGGUCUUCAACGAGGAAUUCCUAGUAAACGCAAGUCAUCAACUUGCAUUGAUUACGUCCCUGCCCUUUGUACACACCGCCCGUCGCACCUACCGAUUGAAUGGUCCGGUGAAGCCUCCGGAUUGGCGCGCACCCCGGUGCCGCCGAGAAGUUGGCUAAACCUUACCAUUUAGAGGAAGGUGAAGUCGUANCA
Molecule: ribosomal RNA, 315 nt
Filed under: uncultured eukaryote
Lineage: Eukaryota
Description: partial 18S ribosomal RNA
Rfam family: Eukaryotic small subunit ribosomal RNA
Source: RNAcentral